This 3030-nucleotide unclassified non-coding RNA is filed under the name Leishmania donovani. Its description in RNAcentral is "gene:LdHU3.30.4020(CDS-product:Tetratricopeptide_ repeat/TPR_repeat_putative)". The record is from RNAcentral. Lineage: Eukaryota; Euglenozoa; Kinetoplastea; Trypanosomatida; Trypanosomatidae.
UUUUGUCAGCUGCUUCCCAUUUGUGGCCAGUGAGAGGUGGGCACCUCCUUGUCUCUUGCCUCGGCCUCUCUCCCUUGUCCAUUCGCACAGCUCGCCGUCACCACCGAGCACUUCCGUAUCGUCCUUCUUGCCUGCGGUGGCUCUCUUGCUCAGUCUUGCGUAUUGUUUUUCAAAGCGGAACUGUUUCUGUAGGGAAGGAAAGCGAGAGUGAGCCGUGCGGUCUGUCAAGUGCGGCCGCCAGCAGCACCAUCCGUAGCGCGCUCGUGUGGGUGGGUGGGCGUGGUGGGAAUCUAUUGCGUGUUUCCGCUUCUUCUGUCGCCCACCCAUCUUCGCAUGCGCUUCUUUCCUGUGCUUUUGUCUCUCUCGCCUUUGCUUGUAUUCCCCCCUUGAUGGUGGCCACCACGGAAUCGGGAUGCACACGAGCACGUCGUCCUUGACCGGCGCCACUACCUCCUCCCGCGUCCCUGUCUCUCACUACAACCCGUGCUUGCCACCAGUGGACGUUGUCGCGCACUACACCGAUCUGCUGAAGCGAGGGGCCGAGACGCGCCUCACUCGACUACUUCGAGCCAAGGCGUAUGUGCAGUUACAUGACUACGCGUCGGCUUGCGCGGACUUGGAUGACUGGAUCCAGGAAAUUGAUCGUACUGCACACGGCAUCAGCGCAGGUGCGGCAGCUGACAGCCUCACAGAGGCUCUCUUCUACCGAGGUGUCUGCCGCGCUCGCCUGUCACAAGUAAAGGAUGCCGUAGCCGAUUUCACGGAGGUGCUGCAGCGUAAGCCAGGUCAUCGGCGGGCCCACUACGAGCGGGCCGCGUGUCACGCGCAACUCGAUGAUUUCUUCAACGCCAUCGCUGACUACGAAGCGGCGCUGCAGCUGGACGAGGUGGGAAGAGAGAAGGAGAACCUUCGCCGGUACCGAGAGCGUCGCUGCUGUUCGGCGCAGCAACAACCACGACGUAUGCGAUUCGCGUCGUCGCGGCCAAGGCUGAGCCCUCUCCCGCUUUGCAGCAUUGCCGUCCGACCGCCCUCCAACGCAGUCUCGCCGCUGCGGCAGCACGUGCCAACACCUGCAUCAGAAAAGGCGCAGCUCACUGACGGGCCUCUCGCGCCAGAGCAGUCAGCCCCAUGCUCACCGGUCUCCACACGCGGCGCCAUGGCGAGCAGUAGUCGGUGUAUGCCCAUGAAUGAGGCCUCGGACAGCGCUGUGGCGACGGUGUCCUUGUCAGAGUACACGAUGCCUGCCGCGGGCGCCGGCGCUACGACCCUCCCAGCGAUUCUCGGCCGCCGAAUCUCGCAGGGCUUCUCAGACCACAGCCAAGAUAACUUGACCAGCGUCUCUUCCAGCACCGAAUCGUUGCUGGACGGCAGCGUUAUGGAAGUAGACGAGACGGUCAAGGACGUGAGCGCGGCUCGAACGCACGAGAUCGCCGCCUCCUACAGUACCCGCCACGAGAACCCCGAGAAUGGGCACGGCAUGCUCGCCGCGAUGGACCCGACGUGUAUACUGAGUUCCAGCAACAGCGAGGGCGAGGAGUGGCUGCCGGACGACGUGCUGGAGGCAGAGACUUGGCAGCAGAGUAAGGGCAGCUGCGCCGCCGCCCGCUUGGCAACGGCUGGGCAGCUUCUCCUCAAUGCGCAUUACUUUUACCAGCGUGGGCUAGAGCAUCGCCGGCGCGGCGAGCUCGAGGCAGCCAUCCACAUGUACACACGGGCGCUGGAGCUUUCGCCGACGCACUUCAAGGCACUAUUCAACCGGGCCUUCUGCGAGGACAAGCUGAAGAACUACACGCGCGCCAUCGAAGACUAUACUGCCGCCUUGGAUCUUGACCCACGCAACCCGUUUACGCACUACAACCUAGGCAUCAGCUACGAUCACAAGGGUCGCCACGCGCGCGCGAUGCAGGCCUUCACCCGCGCCAUCGAGCUUGACGACCGCCACCCCGACUUCUUCCACAACCGCGGAUUUACACAGCGGAAGCAGGGUGCCUACGCGGCCGCCAUCGCCGACUACACCACCGCCAUCUCGUUGGACCCGAAGCACUUCAAGUCGCACUACAACAGGGCCUACUGCUUCAGUAAGCUUGGCCGCUACGAGGAGGCGGUGGCAGACUACGCAGCUGCGCUGCAGAUCGACAGCGGCAACGCAAACGCAUACCACAAUCGCGGUGCAGCGCUGGCGAAGCUGGGGAGGCUGGAGGCGGCUGUCGAAAACUUCAAUUGUGCUCUGCGGCUCAGCCCAAAGCUGACCUUCGCGCUCAACGCCCGUGGCCUCGUGUACGAUCAGCUGCAGCAGUACGACAAAGCCUUGGCGGAUUUCACCGAGGCGAUCCGCCUCGACCAGCGUAAUCCCGUCUGGCUGCACAAUCGCGGCUACACUUAUCGCAACAUGGGCGAGCUGGAGCUGGCGAUUGCCGACUACAGCGCCUCCAUCAAGCUUGCUCCGCACAGUCACACGGCAUAUACCAACCGCGCCUUUGCCUUUCGAAAGCUGGGCCGGUAUGAGGCGGCUAUCGAGGACUACACAAGGGCGUUGCGCGAACAUCCAGGCGUGGCGACGAAGGUGCUCAACAACCGCGCCUACUGCUUUGCACGCUUGAACCUCUUUGAGGAUGCGGUCCGAGACUACACCGAGGUCCUUGCCACCGACCCCGUCAACGCCCAUGCGCUGUACAACCGCGGAAUCAGCUUUGAAAAGUGCGGCAAGUACAACGCCGCUGUCGACGACUUCACGCGGGCCAUCCGGCUAGCACCAGAGGUGCCAUCCACAGCGAGCAGCUACUACAGCCGCGGCACGUCACGGCUGCAGCUGCAUCAGGUGCCGCAGGCCGCCGAGGACCUCAAGCAGGCUCUCAAAUUGGAUCUGAUAGCGUGCGGGUUGCGCGGUGAAGCGCUCUACGCGUUUCGGGCUGAGCAUCCGGCUUGGCGCCUCCUGCAAGACCUCGGCGCAGACUAGAGUGCACCUGAAAGAGAAGAUAGAGGCAGAGGAGUCGAAGGACACUCGAGUAGAUAUCACACACACACACACAC